AGCGUAGACGGUGUGGCAAGUCUGACGUGAAAGGCAUGGGCUCAACCUGUGGACUGCAUUGGAAACUGUCAUACUUGAGUGCCGGAGGGGUAAGCGGAAUUCCUAGUGUAGCGGUGAAAUGCGUAGAUAUGCGGAGGAACACCGAUGGCGAAGGCAAUCCCCUGGGCCUGUACUGACGCUCAUGCACGAAAGCUGGGAGCAAACA
This 205-nucleotide ribosomal RNA is filed under the name uncultured bacterium. RNAcentral describes it as "partial 16S ribosomal RNA". It matches the Rfam family "Bacterial small subunit ribosomal RNA", at positions 568 to 774 of the family's 1533-position model. The record is from RNAcentral.